CCUCUUGCAAGACCAAUGAAUAAGAGGUCCCGCCUGCCUUGUGACUAUAUGUUUAACGGCCGCGGUAUUUUGACCGUGCGAAGGUAGCGCAAUCACUUGUCUUUUAAAUGAAGACCUGUAUGAAUGGCAUCACGAGGGCUUAGCUGUCUCCCUCUCCCAGUCAAUGAAAUUGAUCUCCCCGUGCAGAAGCGGGGAUAAAGACAUAAGACGAGAAGACCCUAUGGAGCUUAAGGCGCCAGAACAGCUCACGUCAAACACCCCCGCAUAAAGGGAAUAAACCAAGUGGACCCUGCUCUAGUGUCUUUGGUUGGGGCGACCGCGGGGAAAAAUUAAACCCCCAUGUGGAACAGGAACACUAUAUUCCUUAAUCCAAGAGCUCCCGCUCUAAUAAACAGAACUUCUGACCAACAAGAUCCGGCAACGCGAAUCCAACGGACCGAGUUACCCUAGGGAUAACAGCGCAAUCCCCUUAAAGAGCCCUUAUCGACAAGGGGGUUUACGACCUCGAUGUUGGAUCAGGACAUCCUAAUGGUGCAGCCGCUAUUAAGGGUUCGUUUGUUCAACGAUUAAAGUCCU
Molecule: ribosomal RNA, 576 nt
Filed under: Sparus aurata (gilthead seabream)
Lineage: Eukaryota; Metazoa; Chordata; Actinopteri; Spariformes; Sparidae
Description: partial 16S ribosomal RNA
Rfam family: Bacterial large subunit ribosomal RNA
Source: RNAcentral